Molecule: ribosomal RNA, 297 nt
Filed under: uncultured bacterium
Lineage: Bacteria
Description: partial 16S ribosomal RNA
Rfam family: Bacterial small subunit ribosomal RNA
Source: RNAcentral
CCUACGGGGGGCAGCAGUAAGGAAUCUUCCACAAUGGACGAAAGUCUGAUGGAGCAACGCCGCGUGAGUGAAGAAGGGUUUCGGCUCGUAAAGCUCUGUUGGUAGUGAAGAAAGAUAGAGGUAGUAACUGGCCUUUAUUUGACGGUAAUUACUUAGAAAGUCACGGCUAACUACGUGCCAGCAGCCGCGGUAAUACGUAGGUGGCAAGCGUUGUCCGGAUUUGUUGGGCGUAAAGCGAGUUCAGGCGGUUCAAUAAGUCUGAUUUGAAAACCUUUGGUUCAACCGGAGAAUUGGAUC